This 254-nucleotide ribosomal RNA is filed under the name uncultured bacterium. RNAcentral's name for it is "partial 16S ribosomal RNA". It matches the Rfam family "Bacterial small subunit ribosomal RNA", at positions 524 to 776 of the family's 1533-position model. The record is from RNAcentral.
UACGGAGGGUGCGAGCGUUGUCCGGAAUCAUUGGGCGUAAAGGGCGCGUAGGUGGCCCGGUCAGUUCGUGGUGAAAGCGCGGGGCUCAACCCUGCGUCGGCCAUGAAUACUGCCGCGGCUGGAGCACUGUAGAGGCAGGCGGAAUUCCGGGUGUAGCGGUGGAAUGCGUAGAGAUCCGGAGGAACACCAGUGGCGAAGGCGACACGCUGGGCCGUACCUGACACUGAUGCGCGACAGCAUGGGGAGCAAACAGG